GAGGGGGGGGGGGCAGAGGACUUGAGCUGGGCUCAGUGAGGCUGGAGCUUCCAGGCGGGACGGGCUUGGAGCGCGUGGGCGCUGGGUGGUGAUUAGGCGCUAGCAGCCGGAAAGCUCUCUCCUGCACUCUCUGUGGACUGAGCCGCUUAGUGCCGACGUCUCCGUGCCAGCCGGGUGCAGCCAGCGAGACGGAGAGUGGGCAGGCGGGAGCCCCCGUGGCGGGCUGCGCAGAACACGCCCGAGCCCCCAGCCAUGGCGGAUAAAUGCAGCGGGGGGUUACUGAAUGGUGCCGUCCCCGGAGAGGCGACCAAGCGAGACGAGAACGUGAAACGGGGCAACUGGACCAACCAGAUUGAGUUUGUGCUGACGAGUGUGGGCUAUGCCGUGGGGCUGGGCAACGUGUGGCGCUUCCCCUACCUCUGCUACCGCAACGGGG
Chrysemys picta bellii (western painted turtle) is the source of this 436-nucleotide non-coding RNA. The record is from RefSeq and is a predicted model, not a curated record. Lineage: Eukaryota; Metazoa; Chordata; Testudines; Emydidae.